RNAcentral lists this ribosomal RNA (253 nucleotides) under uncultured bacterium. RNAcentral's name for it is "partial 16S ribosomal RNA". It matches the Rfam family "Bacterial small subunit ribosomal RNA", at positions 524 to 776 of the family's 1533-position model. The record is from RNAcentral.
UACAGAGGGUGCGAGCGUUGUUCGGAAUUAUUGGGCGUAAAGGGCGCGUAGGCGGUGCGGUAAGUCACCUGUGAAAUCUCCUGGCUCAACUGGGAGCUUGCAGGCGAAACUGCCGUGCUGGAGUGUGGGAGAGGUGCGUGGAAUUCCUGGUGUAGCGGUGAAAUGCGUAGAUAUCAGGAGGAACACCUGUGGCGAAAGCGGCGCACUGGACCACAACUGACGCUGAGGCGCGAAAGCCAGGGGAGCAAACGGG